GAUGAACGCUGGCGGCGUGCUUAACACAUGCAAGUCGAACGGAAAGGCUCCUGCUUGCAGGGGUACUCGAGUGGCGAACGGGUGAGUAACACGUGGGUGAUCUGCCCUGCACUUCGGGAUAAGCCUGGGAAACUGGGUCUAAUACCGGAUAGGACCACAUUUUGGAUGGUGUGGUGGAAAGUUUUUCGGUGUGGGAUGAGCACGCGGCCUAUCAGCUUGUUGGUGGGGUAAUGGCCUACCAAGGCGUCGACGGGUAGCCGGCCUGAGAGGGUGUACGGCCACAUUGGGACUGAGAGACGGCCCAGACUCCUACGGGAGGCAGCAGUGGGGAAUAUUGCACAAUGGGCGCAAGCCUGAUGCAGCGACGCCGCGUGGGGGAUGACGGCCUUCGGGUUGUAAACUCCUUUCGCUAGGGACGAAGCGCAAGUGACGGUACCUGGAGAAGAAGCACCGGCUAACUACGUG
This 465-nucleotide ribosomal RNA is filed under the name uncultured bacterium. RNAcentral describes it as "partial 16S ribosomal RNA". It matches the Rfam family "Bacterial small subunit ribosomal RNA", at positions 28 to 507 of the family's 1533-position model. The record is from RNAcentral.